Molecule: non-coding RNA, 769 nt
Organism: Numida meleagris (helmeted guineafowl)
Lineage: Eukaryota; Metazoa; Chordata; Aves; Galliformes; Numididae
Source: the annotation of a RefSeq genome assembly
AUGACUAAGGAGGCCAGUGUUGACUUAUGCCAGCCAUUUAAGCCAGAGAACAGUGAACAGUUGAGACAAGAGUUCCUCCAGUAUUUUGGAGAAGGAACGAAAGUAACAGUUCUAGAGAAGAACAAUGAAAUCAUUCCACCAGCUGUGGCCAUCUUUUCACCAUCAAAGCAAGAGAUUCAACAGAAGAACAAGGCCACACUGGUGUGCCUGGCCUCUGGUUUCUACCCUGAUCACCUCAAUCUAGUCUGGAAGGUGAAUGGUGUGAAGAGGACAGAAGGAGUGGGAACAGAUGAGAUUUCCACACCAAAUGGAAGCACUUACUCAUUGACGAGCAGACUGAGAAUCUCAGCCGAAGAGUGGUUCAACCCUUUGAAUCGUUUUGAAUGUAUUGCUGAAUUUUUUAAGAAUGCAACACUGGAAUCAAUACACAAAUUCAUCUAUGGUGACACUGGCUGUGAUAUCUUCAGUGAAAACUAUCAGAGAAGUGCUACAGCUGGGAAGUUUGUAUACAUAAUGCUCAUUUUCAAGAGCGUUUUGUAUGGGAUAUUUUUGAUGGGGAUGAUGCUUUGGUACAAGAAAAUGUACUAGAUAUGCUUUGCCCUGAAGAGGAAGACAGAUAUGAUGCAAGUGGAAAGCCUCUUGGAACUUGGAAAUCUUGGAACACAAGUCCUGAUUUGCUUCAGGAACCAGUAAACCAGCUACACUGCAAUCUCCAACUAUUUUGGCUUGCUUUCAAAAUUACCUUUUGAUAAAAGUCUAUCCAUAGAAA